RNAcentral lists this ribosomal RNA (420 nucleotides) under uncultured bacterium. Its description in RNAcentral is "bacterial SSU rRNA". It matches the Rfam family "Bacterial small subunit ribosomal RNA", at positions 359 to 776 of the family's 1533-position model. The record is from RNAcentral.
GAAUAUUGGACAAUGGACGGAAGUCUGAUCCAGCCAUCCCGCGUGCAGGAUGAAUGCCCUAUGGGUUGUAAACUGCUUUUGUACAGGAAGAAACGCCUGGAUUUAUCCGGGCCUGACGGUACUGUAAGAAUAAGCACCGGCUACCUCCGUUCCAGCAGCCGCGGUAAUACGGAGGGUGCAAGCGUUAUCCGGAAUCACUGGGUUUAAAGGGUGCGUAGGCGGCUUAGUAAGUCAGGAGUGAAAGCCUGCGGCUUAACCGUAGAAUUGCUUUUGAUACUGCUGAGCUUGAAUUAGGUUGAGGUUGGCGGAAUGUGACAUGUAGCGGUGAAAUGCAUAGAUAUGUCAUAGAACACCAAUUGCGAAGGCAGCUGACUAGACCUUAAUUGACGCUGAGGCACGAAAGCGUGGGUAGCAAACAGG